RNAcentral lists this transfer RNA (64 nucleotides) under Typosyllis sp. patternB. RNAcentral's name for it is "tRNA-Asn". Lineage: Eukaryota; Metazoa; Annelida; Polychaeta; Phyllodocida; Syllidae. The record is from RNAcentral.
UCUACAAUAGCAUAUAUAAUAAUGCAAUUAACUGUUAAUUAAAAGAAGCAAUUCGCUUGUAGAU